CCAGUAACAUCCUGUGAAAAAGCAGCUCACGUUGUGCAGCAUAGUUUUUUGUUUUUUUUUUGGAUUACCUUGAGCUGCACAGCAAUGAUUUUUUUCACCUAAGACUAUGGGUACUAUGAUUGACAGAACUCUUUUACAUUAAAAAAAAAAAAAACAGCACUAUGUGUUCAAAUGGCCACAAUUGUCUGGUUUUUAGGAGAACCUUUAACCACUGAUCAAUAAUUCUUUCCAUGUAUUUCACCCUUCUGUAGUGGAUCAAUGUCUCUGGGUGAAGUAUUUGCUUUCGAAACCAAAAUGAUGUGUUAAUUUUUCCAGAUUUUUAUCCAUAUUUGGGUUUGCUUUACGGUGAAGAGAUUCAAACCCUCCCCCCCUUCCUUGAGUCUGAUGAUGCAGAUCAUGUGUUAUUUAAGCUGGUUUUAUAGUCGUCCCUUUGAUUCCUUUGUCGUUAGUAUUACCAGUCACACUUUGGUAUUUUUUCAGAUCCAAGGGAUAAAAUUGAAGUCAUUUUUGCCUCAGCUCUUGAGGGUCAUCAUGUGAUCAGGACUUACAUUUCAAACAUAUCACAUGGCUGACUUUUUCUCAGCUUGACACGAUGACAAGGAUUGGGCCCCAUGACUUUUUGUGUGCUUCUGUGCGUGUGUGUACCACAUUGUAUUGAUGAUGUUUGGUGACUUUCCUCAUGAGGAAUUGAUUUUAUUGUAUUAGUUUAUUAUGACUUUUAUUUAUUGGCAUUAUAGCUUAAGGAUGACCUGUGCUUGGUUUGUUUUAUUGACUGAUGACUUUUCCUGUUUUAGUUUAUCACAGUCUCUCAACCAUUAAGCACUGAAAGGUUUCUCACAGUUACAUCAGUAUUAUCUUGUGCAAUUCAUUGAAAAUAUUAUUUUUAUCUUUUUUUUUUCUCCCCCAUCCAUGUUUGAUUGCUUUGUCUUUUUGUAACAGACCAAAUCUCUCUCUCUCUCUCUCUCUCACACACACACACACACACACACACACACACAAAGGAGCUGGGUGUUGAAUCUUCUUCGUGGUUUCUGUAUCUUUUAUGAACUGCCUUCAACAGGAAGUCGUCUGAUCUCUCCACUUUAUUUAGAGGACGAAAUGCCUGCAGUCACCUCUGUGUACUGUUGUCACUCAGUAUAGAAAAUGUGCCAGCAUGUCUCCACCCUGAACAAGCCAGACGCCACACUACGCUGCUCCACCGUUGACUUUACUUGACUUGAAAACCGCUGACUUGAUGAACCAAAGACUCCACUGUCCAGAGGCCUUCUGUUGUUGUUCAGAGUGCCACCAAAAACAGGACACACACCCCCCCCCCACUCCCCGGUCUUGUUAGUAACACGACAACGCUUAGAUUUUUAAAUCUGACCUGGGAAACUUUAAGAUGUUUACCUAUGGAGAUGAGUAUUUUUGAUUUUAUUUACUGGUUUCUCCCGCUCUCCCUCCUGUGUACAGUUUAAGUGUAAUGUCUGGUUCCUGUUUCUGGGACAGCAGCAGCAGCAAAUAUCUCAAUGCAGUGUAAAAAGAUUCUCUUGUACAUUUGUCUUUUCUACUCAUGUUUGGUUUUUCUAUUUCAUUAUUUUCUCCUUGUACAUAAAGAACAAUAAAUUAUUUUUAAAAAAUGUGUCAGUUUGCUGUAUUUAGAACCAGAGUCACUGGUUUUGAUUGUGGAAGCUAAGCUAACCCGACAUGUAGGUAAGAAAAUGUUUUUUUUUUUUUUUUCAGUGUGUCAGUAAAAUAUGUUAACAGACAUAUUGCAUUUUUGGGGGGUGGAAUUUACCAGAUGUUGUUACUAAAUAUUGUCUUUUUGUAUUUUUUAAAAAUCUAAUUUUACUAAUCUUCCAGUGAAUUUUAACUUUUGUCCAGUGAAUUUUAACGAUGACGUCAGCACUCUGAAGUCCAGUGAUUGGGUGGUCAUGGAGUCGGUCAGAGCUAACUAGCUGCACCUGUAGCAACCUGCUAAAGUUUUCCAUUUUACCGAUGUUUUUAUUCACAGUCACAAUAUUUUUAGGAAACAAGAGUUCCAAGGCCUCCUUUGAUACAAGUAAUCCCAACGGUGUCAAUAUAGAACAACCAAGAAAAAAUGGACGUUGACGGUCACUACUCUCCUCGGCAUCUGUCUCUGCGAUGCGGAGUGAUGACGUGCCGUCCCUCAGUAUCGGUACAUGUUGUAGGUGCUGACCCAAUACGAAGGAAAGGCCCACGGGGGGAACCUCGGGAGGAUUUUCUCCAGCUCUGCAGUCCGCUGGUCUUUGCCAAAGAAAUAAUGACAGGAGAUGGCGACGGAGAUCAUUCCCUCAGGUCCGGAUGGGUCUGGAUUUGCUGGAGGCUAACGACGAGAGAUGGUUAUGCUCCGUACAUGCUCCUGACCUUUAGCACUGAAGGUCAUCUUGAUCGUCCCCCACCUCGUCUCCUCUUUGGACACCAGGCUGAACUCCACAGGAAGGCUGGGAGACACUUCUGGAGCAGGAAGGAAAACACGUUUUGGUCGAGGACUCUCUGGACUUCCUGAGUAAGGAAAGAAGAAGCCGCCAGACACCAACAGGAAGAAGACGAUGAAGACAGAGCCCAGACCAAUCAGGAUCCACUUGGUGCUCCGGACCAAUAAGAGGAGAGGAAGAUGGUGGUGAGGGUGACCAGGGAGGCCAGCACCACUUCCGGAGGGAUCUCCGUGCCACUGCGCCCCAUGAUGGGUGUGAAGAUCUCAAACACCACCCAGAUGAGGAACAUGAAGUGGACGUAUGGCAACGCCAGGCCCAGCAGCAGUCUGGUGACCAGGGGAAAGGCCACCAUGAGCAUGGGGACGUAGGCUGAACACAGGUCCUGCUGCGUCAACCACACCAGGCUGCAGCACCACAGCAGCAAACUCACGUCAAAAUACAGAUCGCCCAGCUCCACC
This is a long non-coding RNA of Cynoglossus semilaevis (tongue sole), 2896 nucleotides long. RefSeq lists it as uncharacterized. The transcript is spliced from 7 exons. The record is from RefSeq and is a predicted model, not a curated record. Lineage: Eukaryota; Metazoa; Chordata; Actinopteri; Pleuronectiformes; Cynoglossidae.